Molecule: ribosomal RNA, 490 nt
Filed under: uncultured bacterium
Lineage: Bacteria
Description: partial 16S ribosomal RNA
Rfam family: Bacterial small subunit ribosomal RNA
Source: RNAcentral
AUUGAACGCUGGCGGCAGGCCUAACACAUGCAAGUCGAACGGUAACAGGAAGAAGCUUGCUUCUUUGCUGACGAGUGGCGGACGGGUGAGUAAUGUCUGGGAAACCGCCUGAUGGAGGGGGAUAACUACUGGAAACGGUAGCUAAUACCGCAUAACGUCGCAAGACCAAAGAGGGGGACCUUCGGGCCUCUUGCCAUCGGAUGUGCCCAGAUGGGAUUAGCUAGUAGGUGGGGUAACGGCUCACCUAGGCGACGAUCCCUAGCUGGUCUGAGAGGAUGACCAGCCACACUGGAACUGAGACACGGUCCAGACUCCUACGGGAGGCAGCAGUGGGGAAUAUUGCACAAUGGGCGCAAGCCUGAUGCAGCCAUGCCGCGUGUAUGAAGAAGGCCUUCGGGUUGUAAAGUACUUUCAGCGGGGAGGAAGGGAGUAAAGUUAAUACCUUUGCUCAUUGACGUUACCCGCAGAAGAAGCACCGGCUAACUCCGUG